RNAcentral lists this ribosomal RNA (440 nucleotides) under uncultured bacterium. RNAcentral's name for it is "partial 16S ribosomal RNA". It matches the Rfam family "Bacterial small subunit ribosomal RNA", at positions 338 to 795 of the family's 1533-position model. The record is from RNAcentral.
CCUACGGGUGGCAGCAGUAGGGAAUAUUGCUCAAUGGGGGAAACCCUGAAGCAGCAACGCCGCGUGGAGGAUGAAGGUUUUCGGAUUGUAAACUCCUUUUGUUAGAGAAGAUAAUGACGGUAUCUAACGAAUAAGCACCGGCUAACUCCGUGCCAGCAGCCGCGGUAAUACGGAGGGUGCAAGCGUUACUCGGAAUCACUGGGCGUAAAGAGGGCGUAGGCGGGAUAGCAAGUCAGAUGUGAAAUCCUAUGGAUUAACCAUAGAACUGCAUUUGAAACGGUUAUUCUAGAGUAUGGGAGAGGUAGGUGGAAUUCUUGGUGUAGGGGUAAAAUCCGUAGAGAUCAAGAGGAAUACUCAUUGCGAAGGCGACCUGCUAGAACAUAACUGACGCUGAUGCGCGAAAGCGUGGGGAGCAAACAGGAUUAGAUACCCCUGUAGUC